This 253-nucleotide ribosomal RNA is filed under the name uncultured bacterium. Its description in RNAcentral is "partial 16S ribosomal RNA". It matches the Rfam family "Bacterial small subunit ribosomal RNA", at positions 524 to 776 of the family's 1533-position model. The record is from RNAcentral.
GCCGGAGGUUGCACGCGUUAUCCGGAAUUAUUGGGCGUAAAGCGUUCGCAGGUGGCUGUUCAAGUCUGCUGUCAAAGACCGGGGCUUAACCCCAGAAAGGCAGUGGAAACUGAACGGCUGGAGUGCAGUAUGGGUAGAGGGAAUUCCCAGUGUAGCGGUGAAAUGCGUAGAGAUUGGGAAGAACACCGGUGGCGAAAGAGCACUGCUGGACUGCAACUGACUCUGAGGGACGAAAGCUAGGGGAGAGAAAGGG